UCUGGGAUUAGAUACCCCACUAUAACCUUCAUUCUCCACAGGGAAAUACGGUCCGGAAGACUAAAACCCAAAGAACUUGGCGGCGCUCCACCCCUAACCAGAGGAGUUUGUACCAUAAACGAUAAUCCGCGAAAAACCUUACCCCUUUUAGCCAAUCAGUUUGUAUACCAUCGUUGUCCGUUAACCUUAAAAGAGUAGUUAACAGAAAGUGUUUCUCAACACCUUACUUCAGAUCAAGGUGCAGCUAAUAAAGGAGGAGAGUAUGAACUACAAGAGUUUUAACAAAAGUGGAAAAGUCAGGAAAAGGACUAGAAAAAGAGGAUUUGGAAGUAAUUUUUAUAAUAAUGUAAAAAUGAACUAGUAACUGGAGUGUGCACACACCGCCCGUCACCCUCCUCAA
Molecule: ribosomal RNA, 400 nt
Filed under: Chiridota rigida
Lineage: Eukaryota; Metazoa; Echinodermata; Holothuroidea; Apodida; Chiridotidae
Description: partial 12S ribosomal RNA
Rfam family: Bacterial small subunit ribosomal RNA
Source: RNAcentral